UACGUAGGGGGCAAGCGUUGUCCGGAUUUAUUGGGCGUAAAGAGCGUGUAGGCGGUUUGGUAGGUCCGCUGUGAAAACUCGAGGCUCAACCUCGAGACGCCGGUGGAAACCGUCAGGCUAGAGUUCGGAAGAGGAGAGUGGAAUUCCUGGUGUAGCGGUGAAAUGCGCAGAUAUCAGGAAGAACACCCGUGGCGAAGGCGGCUCUCUAGUACGGUACUGACGCUGAGACGCGAAAGCGUGGGGAGCAAACAGG
This 253-nucleotide ribosomal RNA is filed under the name uncultured bacterium. RNAcentral describes it as "partial 16S ribosomal RNA". It matches the Rfam family "Bacterial small subunit ribosomal RNA", at positions 524 to 776 of the family's 1533-position model. The record is from RNAcentral.